This 5033-nucleotide long non-coding RNA is filed under the name Gossypium barbadense (sea-island cotton). RNAcentral describes it as "long non-coding RNA (GBAR_LNC007218)". Lineage: Eukaryota; Viridiplantae; Streptophyta; Magnoliopsida; Malvales; Malvaceae. The record is from RNAcentral.
CACAAAGUAAUCAGAUUUCAUAUAAAGUUUAAAAGUAUAUUGUCUAACCCCAAAAUGAUUACAAAACAACUAUUUAUAAUAUAAAUUCCUAAGGUAGUCGAAUGGCUAAUAAGAUGCUGAAUGGUCAGCCAAAAUUAAAACAAAAGAGGCUGGAAAUUUCCAGCAACCUUCCUAGGACAUUUUUGGGAAGCUUCAUGCAUGAAGAAUUCAAUUGGACAGCUUCUAGAUGGAGUCCAUUCAGCUGGACAUUAAUGGAAGUAUUGGUGAGCUGAAUAAGAGGUCUUGGUUCGGCCAAUGAAGUUGAAUGCACCUUAAUGAAGCCUCCUUGUGAGCUGAACAGCUUGCCCAUUUUUAAUGACGUUUUGGGGAUCUCCAACAGCCCAUGGUGUGAACAUCAAAUAGGAACAGCCUUGUGUGUGUGAACUCAUGAAACUGAAUGGCCAAAAGAUAGCAAAAAUUUAUUUAUCAGCUGGGGCGUCCUCCAAGGUAAUUAAGAGCUGAAUUGAGCUGCUUUGGAAAGUGAAAAGAAACUCCCAAAAAAGCCCUUGCUGUUCAUGAAGGAAUGCAUGGAGGAGAGCAAUCAGCAGUAAUUAAAUGCCGUCCAUGCCCAAAUUCCUGCACCAAAUUAAAACAGCCUUUAAUUCUUGUUUUAAGACAAAAAUAAAUACAUGCAAUAUGGCCCAUAAAUUCGGCAGUAGCUUCUUUAAUGAAUUCCAACAUGCUUUCUUCAACAUCUCAUUGAAUGCUUGUCUUUGCUGCACAUUAAAUUCGGCAAGCAUGCACCCAUUAAAUCUGUCCAUUAAAUGGCCACAUGAAAAAGCACCAGCAGCUCCUUUAAUGCCGUCCAAGGAAGGAGGUACCAACAUGAAUUAAUUCAGCAAAUUAAAUCCAUUGUGGGCACAUUAAAUUCGGCAGCAAAGAAUUAAACCUUCUUUAAUUUUUGUCCCCAUUUCCAUGCACCUGUACACAUUUAAAUUAGCCAUUAACUCAAGUUUAAGACAAAAUAAAAUUUGGUCAACAAGGCAUAUUAAAUUCGUCAACCACACAAGGACACAUUAAUUCUGCUCAUAAAUUCGGCUGACUUAAACAUGAUAAAUUAGCAGCCAAGACACAACAAUUAGCUGUAAUAAAAAAUACACAUUAAUUCGUCAAUUAAAUUGUCUUAGGCUGGAACAUAUUAAAUGAUGUAAUGAGCUAACUAAGACAUAUUAAAUUGCUGUACUAAAUAAAACACAAUCAAUUAAACUCAAGAAAUAUUAAAGAUGUUCAGAUUUAAACUAAUUAAUUUACUAACACUUAUUUGAGCUAAAUUAAAUAACUAAAUUAACUUAUUCAAUUUAUUCAAUUUAUUCCAGCAAAUGAGUUUGUAAAAUUAAAAUAAACUCAAUAUGAGCAAAACGAUCCCAUUGAACUGGAAACGAACUAAACAGAGCUCAGUGAGAUGCAAUUGAGCUAAUUUAGCUCGCAUGGGUGUGCAAGAAAUACUUAUGGAGCUGAUCGAAAAAUGUGCCCGGGGCGUGGUCGUAUCAUCUCCUCCCUCUUUAAGGCGAUUUGUCCUCUAAUCGGGCCACUUGCUCAAGAAAAAUUUUUCAAGAUCUCGAACCCUUUUGUUCAUGAUCUGAAUAGAAUCAUUUCUAAAACUUUGAAAAUCACAAAUGGUUCGAUAAGAAAUUGAAUUAUUUCCACGCCCUUCCUCUUUAAGAGGGAAACAAUUUAGAGUGUCACCUACACGAGAAUGAAAGGAAUUAGAGACACUAAAAAUUAUAAACACAAAUGAUCUUUUCAGAUGCUUAUUCAAAAUUGGGAUGCUUAACCCAAUGCCAGGAUCAAAAAUGAAAUUUGGUCUUACCUUUCCAAAAUGAAUCAAAAAGUUCAUAGAUAGAAACAAAUCCGAACCACAAAACAGUCGAAAGGCAUAAUCUCGAAAGUCAAAAUUGCAAAAUCCAAACCCUUUUAACAAGAACAAAGAAUAAUAAUCUCCGGGGUCAAAAACGAAGCUUCCUCUUGCUUGGCUUGACGUUAACUUAGGAAUGUAUAUCCCAGGUUUAAAAACGCAAUUUUCAUUGGUCGUUUCGCAACGCAACGAAAAUUUCUUCUUCACCAAGACUUCACACAUGUCAAGCAAAUAGGAGUUAGGCAUACAUACAUUCGAGCAAUCAAACCCUUCAUAUUUCAUUCGCACACGUAAACAAGGAAAGUUCACACCACAAUUUAGAUAAUUCACAUGAUCAUCACAAGCAAACAGAUUAGAUGUCAACUUUUCAUCACACAAUCCCAAUUUUUGUUUGGGCUUACCUGGACUUACUUCUUGAUCAAUCUUGACAAUGAUAGGCUCAUGAGAAGAAAGAUAUUUCACAUUACUAUGUAAAACACAUUUAUCAACAAUCAAAUUAUGAUUUCCAAUCAGAUCAAGAUGAAAAACUUUCUCACAAACUAAGUCUUUGCUAAUCUCGUCAUCAAGAAUCAAGUAAGAUUGAGAAGACUCAAAUACAGUAGAUCCCUUACAUGGCUUACCUUUAAGCACUUGUGGACUAGGGUCAUCUACGAUCUUACCUUUCUCGACUAAUCGAAAUCGUUUCUCCUUAGAAAAGUAUUGAAGUUGAAAUUGAUCGAUGGGGUUUCGAGAAACCUGAAAAGUAGAAACAAAAUAAGGAAAAUUCAUAGGAUGGUUAGUAACAACACUCCUUUCUUUUUCACUUUCAUCCUUUUCAUUUCUUUCUUUUUCCAACUCAUUUUCAAAUCCUCUUUCUUUUACCAUAUCACUCAUUUCUUUUGCACUCUCGUUUCUUCCUUCAAUCUCACUCUCUUUUUUGGUUUCUUUUUUUUUCGCACUCGUUUUUAUUCUCAAUCUCAUUUUCAAUUUUCUUUUCUAUCUCCCACUCAUCUUCUUUUUCUUUCAUUUCUUUUUCAUGUUCAUUUUCUCGCUCGUGCUCUUUUUCUUUUUGUCUUGUUCUUUCAUUACAAAAAGAUGAUAACUUAUAAGAACCAUAACGACAAGCUUCUCGUUCGAAAGAAAUGGCAGAUUCAUCAUGCAAGUCACGAUCAUCUCUUUGUGAAUAACCCUCCGUAUUCGAGUACUUUGACACUCUUGAAACACGUUCGCCUCUUCGUAAAUAAUCCUUCGUAGAUGAAUAAAUUGAGGCACUUGUAGAGACAUGUUUACCUUUUCGUUUAUCAUCUCUGAAGGACUCAAACUCGGAGUUUGCUUCUCUUGGUCUCGAAUGCCUUGUUGAAUAAACGUCUUGAUAAGAGUCUCUUGUCGAGUAGUGUCGUCGGGAUGAUCUUAACUCCGUCUCUUGACUCGAUGAAAUUUGCUUUCGUUGGGCUCUUUUCUCUACUCGAUCCAAUCGGUCAUGCAAUUUAUCAAAAUUUGAUUUCACCAUUCUACGCACUUCUUGCAUCAAAUAUUGGAAUUCUGAUUCGAAAAAUUCUUCUUGAUACAUUUUUUUUUGCUAAAAGAGAAAAAAAAAAUGAUUAAAAUACAAUAGAAAAUAAAUACCUCACCACACAAAAAAAAAAUCUCACGUUUCACUCACAAAGAAAAUUCACACAAUUUGGCUUUUACUUCUCUCGAAUGGUCUCACCAAUCACUCUUGCCUUUUUUUUCCACUCGAUUUUCGCCUCUCAAAGUUCUUCGCAAACUAAAUCGACGAAUCAAUACCGUUUGGCGUCGGCUUACAAAAUUGAUUUGGCUUGGUGGGUAAUGAUGUCGGAAAUGGUAGGUUAUAAAACAAAAUAGGAAUGGUUAAGUGUGGCUAUAUAGAUAUGGUCUUUCGGGCAAAAAGCAAUGCUUUUACAAACCCAAAAUAAAUUUCAAUCACUCUUUUUUUUUUUCAAUUUCGAUUUUUUUCUUUUUUUUUAAUUUCGAAUUUUUUUCUUAUUUUUUUUCUUCAAUACUAAAUACAAAAAGUAAAAAUAAAUUGAAUACAAACUUUUUUUUUGAAUUUUUUUUUUUCAAAUUUUUUUUUUGAAUUUUUUUUUUACAAUACCGAAAUGCCGAUAACUUCGAUUCUUACUCCGAUUCAGCUAGCUCUGAUACCAAAUGAUGUGCCCCGGCUCGGGAAGGAGAAUCGAGUCGUAGAUGUGCCCGAUCGUGAAUUGGAGUAAUUUGAAAGCUUUACAAAAUAGGCUAGAAGAAAAGGAAUUAUUUAGGCUCAAAAGAGUUUUGUUGGUUUAGGAAAUGAAUUAGAAGACAAUGGAUGUAAUUUGGCUAAGGAUUCAAAAGCCGAACUAACACAAUAGUAGUGUGUUAACCCGUAACUUAUGAGAAUGCUUAGGUUGGUAAGGUGUCAAUGGAAGGUUUGUUAAGUGGAUAGAAACUUUGACCCGCUAUCAAAAAUGAUAGGAACCUCAGUACGAAUCGAACGCCACACUUUCGGGAUUAAAGUGAUAAGUUCGGAUAGAAAGAUGGGUUGACGCCACAAGGGUUACUUGAUAAGUCAGACGAGUCUUUGGAGAACAAUGAGAGUUGAAAACAAACUCACAAAGUAAUCAGAUUUCAUAUAAAGUUUAAAAGUAUAUUGUCUAACCCCAAAAUGAUUACAAAACAACUAUUUAUAAUAUAAAUUCCUAAGGUAGUCGAAUGGCUAAUAAGACGCUGAAUGGUCAGCCAAAAUUAAAACAAAAGAGGCUGGAAAUUUCCAGCAACCUUCCUAGGACAUUUUUGGGAAGCUUCAUGCAUGAAGAAUUCAAUUGGGCAGCUUCUAGGUGGAGUCCAUUCAGCUGGACAUUAAUGGAAGUAUUGGUGAGCUGAAUAAGAGGUCUUGGUUCGGCCAAUGAAGUUGAAUGCACCUUAAUGAAGCCUCCUUGUGAGCUGAACAGCUUGCCCAUUUUUAAUGACGUUUUGGGGAUCUCCAACAGCCCAUGGUGUGAACAUCAAAUAGGAACAGCCUUGUGUGUGUGAACUCAUGAAAUUGAAUGGCCAAAAGAUAGCAAAAAUUUAUUUAUCAGCUGGGGCGUCCUCCAAGGUAAUUAAAGAGCUGAAUUGAGCUGCUUUGGAAAGUGAAAAGAAACUCCCAAAAAGGCCCUUGCUG